RNAcentral lists this ribosomal RNA (473 nucleotides) under uncultured bacterium. RNAcentral describes it as "bacterial SSU rRNA". It matches the Rfam family "Bacterial small subunit ribosomal RNA", at positions 29 to 506 of the family's 1533-position model. The record is from RNAcentral.
ACGAACGCUGGCGGCGUGCUUAACACAUGCAAGUCGAACGGAGCUAUAAGAGGAGCUUGCUUCUUUUAUAGUUUAGUGGCGGACGGGUGAGUAACGCGUGGGCAAUCUGCCCGUAGGUGGGGGAUAACACCGAGAAAUUGGUGCUAAUACCGCAUAACAUCAUUGGGAAGCAUUUUCUGAUGAUCAAAGGAGAAAUCCGCUUACGGAUGGGCCCGCGUCUGAUUAGCUAGUUGGUGAGGUAACGGCUCACCAAGGCGACGAUCAGUAGCCGGCCUGAGAGGGUGAUCGGCCACACUGGAACUGAGACACGGUCCAGACUCCUACGGGAGGCAGCAGUGGGGAAUCUUCCGCAAUGGGCGCAAGCCUGACGGAGCAACGCCGCGUGAGUGAGGAAGGCCUUCGGGUCGUAAAACUCUGUCAUCAGGGAAGAAACAAAUGACGGUACCUGAGGAGGAAGCCACGGCUAACUACGU